This 256-nucleotide ribosomal RNA is filed under the name uncultured bacterium. Its description in RNAcentral is "partial 16S ribosomal RNA". It matches the Rfam family "Bacterial small subunit ribosomal RNA", at positions 524 to 777 of the family's 1533-position model. The record is from RNAcentral.
UACGUAGGGUGCGAGCGUUGCCCGGAUUUAUUGGCGUAAAGGGCGCGUAGGCGGUCACGCACGUCCGUUGUGAAAUCGCUCGGACUCAACUGGGCGGGUCAGCGGAUAACGGCGUGGCUGGAGCAAGCUAGGGGGCAAUGGAAGUUCCCGGUCGUAGUGGUGGAAUGCGUAGAUAUCGGGAGGAACACCAGUGGCGAAGGCGGUUGCCUGGAGCUUUGCUGACGCUGAUGCGCGAAAGCGUGGGGAGCGAGUCCGG